CCCAGUCCUCAGUCAGCUGGCAGACUGGUGUCUGUCAGUGUUACAGGGCUGGUAGAGGAAGUUCUGCAGGCGCCUCGAUGCAUGCUCGGUUCUAGAGCGUGUCUGCGAGGUGCUGCAGAGCGCAGGUCUGUCAGAUCUGUCCUGAUCCACUGCAGUUCAGAUCAUGCAGCAGAGCUGCACACG
Molecule: small nucleolar RNA, 183 nt
Filed under: Oryzias latipes (Japanese medaka)
Lineage: Eukaryota; Metazoa; Chordata; Actinopteri; Beloniformes; Adrianichthyidae
Description: Small nucleolar RNA SNORA74 (ENSORLG00015000497.1)
Source: RNAcentral